Molecule: transfer RNA, 71 nt
Filed under: Methanobacteriota archaeon
Lineage: Archaea; Methanobacteriati; Methanobacteriota
Description: Euryarchaeota archaeon tRNA-Tyr
Rfam family: tRNA
About the family: Transfer RNA (tRNA) molecules are approximately 80 nucleotides in length. Their secondary structure includes four short double-helical elements and three loops (D, anti-codon, and T loops).
Source: RNAcentral
CGGGGCAUGGUGUAACGGCAGCAUUCUGGGCUGUAGACCCGGCGGUGGGCGUCCAACUCGCUCUGCCCCGA